RNAcentral lists this ribosomal RNA (490 nucleotides) under uncultured bacterium. Its description in RNAcentral is "bacterial SSU rRNA". It matches the Rfam family "Bacterial small subunit ribosomal RNA", at positions 15 to 518 of the family's 1533-position model. The record is from RNAcentral.
GAUCCUGGCUUAGGACGAACGCUGGCGGCGUGCCUAACACAUGCAAGUCGAACGGAGUAUCGAGAGCUUGCUUUGAUACUUAGUGGCGACGGGUGAGUAAUACAUGAGCAACCUGCCCUGAAGUGGGGGACAACAGUUGGAAACGACUGCUAAUACCGCAUAAUGUGCAGAGGGGGCAUCUCUUCUGCAUCAAAGAUUUAUCGCUUCAGGAUGGGCUCAUGUCUGAUUAGCUAGUUGGUGAGGUAAUGGCUCACCAAGGCUACGAUCAGUAGCCGGACUGAGAGGUCGAACGGCCACAUUGGGACUGAGAUACGGCCCAGACUCCUACGGGAGGCAGCAGUGGGGAAUAUUGGGCAAUGGGCGAAAAAGCCUGACCCAGCAACGCCGCGUGAAGGAAGAAGGCCUUCGGGUUGUAAACUUCUUUUACGAGGAAUGAAAAAAUGAUAGUACCUCGUGAAUAAGCCACGGCUAACUACGUGCCAGCCGCUGC